CCUUUGUACACACCGCCCGUCGCUACUACCGAUUGAAUGGUUAUAGUGAGCAUAUGGGAUCAGUGGAGACCGACUGGCAACAGUCAGUUUCUGCAGAGAACUAUGGCAAACUAGGCUAUUUAGAGG
Molecule: ribosomal RNA, 126 nt
Filed under: Backusella variabilis
Lineage: Eukaryota; Fungi; Mucoromycota; Mucoromycetes; Mucorales; Backusellaceae
Description: partial small subunit ribosomal RNA
Rfam family: Eukaryotic small subunit ribosomal RNA
Source: RNAcentral